Molecule: long non-coding RNA, 799 nt
Organism: Fukomys damarensis (Damara mole-rat)
Lineage: Eukaryota; Metazoa; Chordata; Mammalia; Rodentia; Bathyergidae
Exons: 4
Source: RefSeq, a predicted model, not a curated record
CUUUCUCUUAGGUACUAAUUUAAGAAGUUUCCCAAGUAGCUAGAUGGUGAGACUCUUCCAGGUCGCAGGGGUGGAAAUGGGGAGUGAGAAGAAGCAAUAAAGCUGAGCAGGUCACAGGAACUACAGGAACCUCUUUGUAGAUCUGCCCCUCAUUUAGAGUUGCUAGGCUUUGAGAUGGGUAUCUUGGUUGCAUCCUCUGAGGAGAGGAGCAUCUCGCUCAGCCAUUCUUCCCUGAAUCACUACAUGCUAUGCAGGGUGUGUGGAUGAAUCCCUGAAAAUGAAAUGUGAGCAAAAGUCAGACACACAGUGCCUCAUAUGAAGUCACUGUAAGGGCUUCUGCUUUUCUGUGGGAAAGAGACUGGCCAGCUUCAGUAGAGAUCAUGACUUAGAAACGGCAGUCACAAGCUAGAAGAAACUUACGUCCUGAGUUCUUGAAUCAGUAAAUGGUUUCAGCCCAAGCAUAAAAAUGCAUAUUCUCUGGAGAAAACACAGAUGAACAGCCCAAAGGAGGACUGCUUGGCUACAUGGAUUUCAACAUAUUUUCUAGCAAAAUCAUACAUACCCAAAAGGAGAUUCUGGCAAUUUUGGAUGGCAUGUCGAUAGGAGGAAUUCCCAGGAGGACUCUGGAAUGCUCAUGAAUUAUUGGGUUAUAGCAGUAAACAUAGUAGGCAUACUUUUUCAAUAGUCAUAACAAAGUAUGAUCUUUGUAACAUAUUUUGUGUAAUAAGUAAUACAAGUGUAAUAUAAAACAGGUGACUAAUAUUGCUUCACUAUUUCAGUAUACCAUAUGUGAUAAGUA